Molecule: long non-coding RNA, 769 nt
Filed under: Lupinus angustifolius (narrow-leaved blue lupine)
Lineage: Eukaryota; Viridiplantae; Streptophyta; Magnoliopsida; Fabales; Fabaceae
Description: long non-coding RNA (LANG_LNC002277)
Source: RNAcentral
GGGUACGAGUAAUGUUCUCCUAUUUUAAAACGGGUAACGGGUAGCGGGUAGCUAGUACCCGUGCCCGCCCGUGCAUGUUGUCAUCCCUAGACCUGAUUGUAACUCAGCCAGUAAAGAUUAUUUCGUGUCAUUCAGAAUUGUUGUGAGCUAUGGUAACAACAACAUUGGUACAUCCUCAACAUGUGAACUAUGAGAAAGCUUCAAGUACUGUAUGACACACAUCAAACGCCUAUACUCUUUCUAAACUCACUUGCCUAUCAUUUCCACUUGUUAUCCUUACAUGUAUAAACACUGCUACAAAUAAAUAUUUGAAAUGGAAGGAACCAAUCCUAAUCCAAAUAUUAUGAAUAUAACAUGCUAUGAGAUAAAUAUUGAACAUCAAACCAUAAAUCACUAACCAAUUCUAUAUAUAUGCAAGGGUUCCCCCAUGUUAUUGAACCUCAAUCCCUCGCCUUAAUCAGUACCCAAAAUGAAGAAAAGAAACAUGGAGAUGGUGGAACACAGUGAUAGUGACAUACAACAGUUGCUUCGCCUUCGUGUCUGGUGGAAACGUGAACCAACAGAAAUGGAACUCAAGACAAUGAAGAAGAUGAAUAGAGCCUCCAGCGAUAGACACUUCAACUUUUCCCUUUCUCUCUCAAUCUCUUAGAUAUGGAAGAGGAACUAAUGGAAGUAUAAAAUUAUCUCAGAUAUAUCAACACUUGAGUUUGGAAUGGAAGGUUAGGGAUAGCCUCUUAGGGCUUUCAGCUAUCCCUCCUUUUCAUUUCAC